GUGCGGGAAGGCAAGGCCUGCGGUGGGAGGCACCCCGCCCGCGGCUCAGCCCCGGCCCUGCGCCCCCACGGAUCUGAGCGCAGGUGCAGACUCACAAGCUCCUGUCACCAGAGAAGAUGGCUGUUUGCAGGACCCUGACCGCAUGAUCAUCCUUCCGGCCAGCCUGGCCCCUUGCUCCCUAGGCUCUCGUCCUCCUAGCUGGGCCUCCACACCAGCUUUCCCAGAGACCAUUUUUAAAGGGCUGGGUUUGCUCAGGAGCCUCAGCAUUCUUCUGCCCAGGAGAAGGGACAGCGUCAAGGAUGGGCUGAGGCACAAGUGAUCAGGAGACCCCCUGGAAGACGCAGCUAGGAUGUGGCAGAGCUGGGGUUCAGCGCUGUAGCUUCUGGCUCCUGAGGCCAGUGUUUCGGAGGACACUUCAACAGAGAACCCUGGGAGGUGUCUGGCAUGGAGAAGAUGCUCCCUUAAUGUAGUUGCACUGCUCAGGAAGUAAGGUUUGGGUCUCAGUGUAUUGGAUGGUGCCUUCCGUCCUUAACUCUACUAAGAUGACCUUUCCUUCUGCUUCCUCUCUGGCCCUCCUGCCCUGGCCAGACCCUGGAGGGAUGGUGGCUCUGGCUUGAGAUGCUGCAUUCCUCUCAGGUCAGGCCCGCCGAGACCCAGAGCCCACGGAGGCCUCCUUCCCCUCCUUGACAUUCGUCCUGCAAGUCCGGACGCCAACUCCAAGGCGGUUCUGUCUGGGCCUGGGCCAGAGUAGCUGUGGCAGAGUGCUCCUCCCUCCAGCGCCAGCCUCCUUGGGUGCAGACAGCCCAGCACAGGCAGGAAGGGCCUUCUGUUUGCCUUGGCUGGUGGGGAAGAGAUUAGUGCUUGCUUUCUGUUUUGACUCUUGUAUCUAACUAACAGGCAGGUCUGUGACGUCACAGAAAAGCACACUUGAGCCUUGAAUGAGUUUGGGGCCCGUUCUUAAUGCCUGGCCCCUGUAGAGGUGGCUGGAGGUAGGAAUGGGCGAUACCACCACCCCCUGAGGAUGUGGAGAAAUGUGAUGGCCAACUGUCAGCUCUCCCUACCCAGCGUCCAUGGCCCUUUCUCCUGAUAAUGCCUCUUCCCCUUCAGAGGAUCACCUCUCACCCACCCCGACUUUAGAAGCAGGCAUGGAUCCCAGGAUGGACAUGGAGACUCCCUCUUGGACGUUUUGCAGCAACUAUGGGGAAAGAGGCAUUUGUUUUUCAUGGGGUUUGCCAGGUUGAUGGAGCUGCUGGUGGCCAUCCUGUUCUCUACUUGAGGUCGAAGCCAACAGAGGAAAAAGCACAUAGAUGGAGAGAAUAUGCUGUCUGGACAUCAGUAAGCCCCUGGAUCCAGUCAUGCCUGAAGCUAAAUACACCUCUGGAUUAACCUCAUUAUAUGAGCCAAUGCAUUUCUUUUUUGCUCAAAUCAUCCUGAGUUGGGUUUCUGUCAUAGAAAGGGUCCUAAUAGAGCAGUAUUUUUCUUUGGUCUCAUUAAAAAAAAAAAAAAAAAUCAGUUCUGAGAUAAACUUUACAUGCAAUAAAACCUACCCAUUUUAAGUGCCCGAGUCAUAAGUUUUAUCAAAUGUGUACCCCCUUGUCACUACCCCCGCCAUAGAGAUAGAGAACAUUUCAAGCUCCAGGACAACCCCUAGGACCUGCCUUGGUUGUAGAGAUUGAUUUUGCCUUUUCUAGAAUUUUAUAUUAUCAUUUAGUGUGUACUCUUGUGUGUCUGGCUUGAUUCAACAUGUCUUUGAGAUUCAUCCAUGCUGUGCGCCUCAGUAGUUUCAUGCCUUACUACUGAGACACCUUCCACUGUAGGGAUGUACCAGUUUGCUCAGCCAUCUGUCAGAUGGUGGACAUUUAGGCUAUUUCCAGACUGUGACUAUUACAAAUAAAGCUGUUUUGAACACUGAA
Leptonychotes weddellii (Weddell seal) is the source of this 1913-nucleotide long non-coding RNA. RefSeq lists it as uncharacterized. Lineage: Eukaryota; Metazoa; Chordata; Mammalia; Carnivora; Phocidae. The record is from RefSeq and is a predicted model, not a curated record.